GUCCCCGAAGAACCCGGAACAGAAGAUCAUUAAAAGAGUGAUUGCUCUUGAAGGAGAUAUUGUAAAGUAAGUUCUUAAACUGUUAUUUUUGAGUUCACGUUAUAAAUAUCUAGUUUUUUGUUGAGUUUUAAAUCACAUUUCAUGGAAGCACAUCUCAGUUCAAUGAUAACCAAAGCUUUGGAGUCUUUCCAAAUGAACUGGUACAUUUUCAGGGAGUACCAUCAGAAUAUAACACAUACGUAAGCUGUCUGAUAACAUUAUUAUCCUUUAACUGGGAGGCUCAGGAAAAAUAAAUGUUAAAAAUUUUAUAAAAUGACCAUUAAUUGUUUUUCAGAUAUUAAAAUUAGCAUUAUUGUUUUAGAUUGUGAUGUCAAGAUUUAUUAUUUUAGAUGCAAAUACAGAAACUAAGGGGGAGCUUUUAUUGUAAUAGAGAUGGGGGAAUAUGGAAAAGGAUGUGAAACAGAAACUUUUGGAUCAGUGACAAAAAUAGUAGCUUUAGAAAAUAACAUAAUGAUCAGGUGCUUUACCAAAAUGUGUAGCAAUGUCAUUUAUUCUACUUGCUGAUAAAUCUAGAAUAAUGUUUGAGCUUCUGCAAGUAGGUAUUGAUGUGGCAUGAUAGGUCUCAUAUUGCUUAAUUACCUUAUUUUAAGUUGUAGCCAAAACUAUACAUUGUGGGAUUCCAUAUAAUUUGAAAACUAUAUUCCGAAAACUUUUUAAUCCUGUUUUCCCAAAAAGUUUGAUGCUAGACUAUCUGUAAUGAUAGUACAGUUUAAGCAAUCUCAUUCACGUGGACCUCAUUAAAAUAGCCUAGAGCAGAAUCUAGUACAGCUGUUCUCAAAAGAUGGCCCAAAGACCAUGGGUGUUCCAAGACCCUUUGCGGGGGAGGGGGGCAGUCUGUGGGAUCAAAACUCUUUUCCUAAUAAUACUGAAAUGUUAUUUCUCAUAAGUGUACAGUGGAGUUUUCCAGAGAUUACAUGAUGUAUGAUAUUGCAGAAGUCUGAGGCAGGAGUGGAUAUGGGCUUAAUUUUCUAUAAUCCAGAUACUGAAAAGACUGAAAACUAUACUUUUUCACUAAACAUGUUCUUUUUGUUAACAUGUAGCUUUAUUAUUGUUAUUUUACAUUGAUUUCACUAGUUUUUUUUAAAAGCCUCUGUUUUAAUUUCUAAUAUGGUAAAUAUUGACAUCUCAUACCCACAUAAGCAAGGUUCUUUGAGACCACAGUUAUUUUUAGGAGUGUAAAAUUUUCCUCAGAUCAAACAAUUUGAGAACUUGCUGAUGCAGGAAAGAAUGGCAAACAUUUUCGUCUAGUUUACGUGUUCAUUUGUACCUGCAUCAUAUCCAUGGACUUAUUGAGAUAUGGUUUGUUUAGUUUAUAUUCAUGAGUAUUUGUUUGGUCUUUUUUCUUCUAAAAUUUAUAUUGAAGUAUAAUUUAUGUACUGUACAAAACAUACACUUUAAGUAUAUAGUUCAGUGAGUUUUAAUACAAAGUUAUACAAUUGUGCAACCCUUACCACAAUCUAGUUUUUGAACUUUUCUAAUACCUUCAAUCAUCCCUUCCUGUUUACACUUAACUCUGGUUCCCACCAGUCCCUCUUGCCAUUGCCACACAAUCAUUGGUAAGCUUUCUGCCUUUGUAGUUCAGGCUUUUCUAGAAAUUUUAUUCACAUGGUAAUAUACAGUAUGUAAUCUCUUGUACCUGGUUCCUUUCACUUAGCAUAGUGUUUUUGUUGUUGUUGUUCUGCCAUGUUGUGAAUCUGUAAUAUCUUCCUUUACAUUAUUCAUGGGAUUCCAUUUUAUGGAUGCACAGCUCUAUGACUAUGAGUAUAUUAAAAGCAUGUUUUACUUUUUAAAUGGGUAAUUUAUGUGUUACAUGAAUUACUCAAUAAAGCUAUUAAAAAACCAAAGCAAAAAAGGUGAUCAACAAAGCAGGCAAAAAUUUCAUCUUUGUAAAUUAAUCUAAAAGGAUUAGGAAUGCCAAGGGAUCCAUUUUAUGGUAUAAUCCAAGACAACACAGCUUCAAUUCAAGUAUAUCAUUAUUGGUCACAAGCUAACUAGUUAACAACGUGAGAUUGUAAAGCUUGGUCAGACAUUAAAAAAGAACUCUAUGCAAUCAGAUACUACAACAGACCUCUCUGAAGAGAAGGCUGAGUUGUUGCUUUCCAAUGGACAUAUUGGGUUCACAGAGGAGAGGCUGAGCUAGAAAGAGGGUUAAUGGUGCAGGGUUGAAGAAUGAGAGAAGGGGACAUGGGACUAUGGUAGGUUUACACCUUCUUUCCUCACUGCCGAAACCCACAUGUGCAAAGUCUAGCUUCUUUGUUCCAUCCUAAAAAUUGACUUUGGACAUACAUCCCUUGCUGUCCCCCUUCACUAUGCCUCUAUCAUAGUAUAAUGAGUAUCAAAUCUCAAGACUUUUUCACUGUCUGUCCUUUUUUUUAAAGCUAGUGAUUGAAUAUUCCUGUAAUGCCUUUCUAAUAGUGUUGAAAAACGCUAAGGGAUAUUUAAGGAAUAAAAUAUUUACUCAUGUUCUUUUCUCUCCAAACUACUUUUUAAAAUGUGAGAACACAUAAAAAUUGGAGGGUUUUUUUUUGUUUGUUUGUUUGUUUGUUUGUUUUUUGUCUUUUUGCCAUUUCUUGGGAUGCUCCCACUGCAUAUGAAAGUUCCCAGGCUAGGGGUUGAGUUGGAGCUGCAGCUACUGGCCUAUGCCACAGCCACAGCAACGCUGGAUCUGAACUGCAUCCAUGACCUAUGCUGCAUCUUGCAGCAAUGCCAGAUCCUUAACCAACUGAGUGAGGCCAGGGAUCGAACUCUCAUCCUCAUGGUUACUAGUCGGGUCUUUAACCUGCUAAGCCACAGUGGUAACUCCUAAAAAUUGUUUUAAUAUGCUGUUUAUCCCUGGAAGUCAUUAGUUGAUUUGUGUCCUAACUUGUAUUAGGCAAGGUCCUUUGGUCUAUGAUAGGGACUUUCCAGUCCCACCUCUAUCUUGGAUAAUACUGGAUUACCUAGGAGGCAAGCUAAGCACAAACAUAGGGCUCUAGGGAGUUCCUAUCAUGGUGCAACAGAAAUGAAUCCAACUAGGACCCAUGAGGUUGCAGGUUCAAUCCUUGCCCUUGCUCAGUGGGUUAAGGAUCCGGUAUUGCCAUGGGCUGUGGUGUAGUCUGCAGACAUGGCUAGGAUAUGGUGUUGCUGUGACUGUGGUGUAGGCUGUCAGAUGUAGCUCAGAUUCAACCCCUACCCUGGAAACCCCCAUAUGCCACAGGUGCAGCCCUAAAAAAGACAAAAGACAAAAGUCAAAAAAAAAAAGUAGGGUUCUAAAAAAUUUUUUUGCAAAACUUUAUUUUAUUAAAUGACCUGAACAAAAAAAAAUUUGACUUAUCAGGACUUGGUUAUACAUACUGUGGGUUUUAUAGUAUUUUUAUUUUGAAUUAUACAUAAUUAGAGGGUUAGAGGGAACCAUACUCUUUUCAGAGGUUAAGCCCUUGAAAAUUUUAAUCUAGUCCUCCAUUUAAUGCUCUGUUAAACUCCUUCCAAUUACAGUAACAGAGAGAAAAAUAUAGUUGAAAGAGCACUCCCUUCGUUAUUUUUAUUUUUUAUUAAUGAUUUUUAUUUUUUCCAUUAUAGUUGUUUUACAGUGUUCUGUCAAUUUCUACUGUACAGAAAAGUGACCUAAUCACACAUAUAUAUACAUUCUUUUUCUCACAUUGUCCUCCAUCAUGUUCCAUCAUAAGUGACUAGAUAUAGUUCCCUGGGCUAUACACCAGGAUCUCAUCGCUUAUCCACUCCAAAUGCAAUAGUUUGCAUCUAUUAACCCCAGAUUCCCAGUCCAUCCCACUCCCUCCCCCUCCCCCUUGGCAACUGCAAGUCUGUUCUCCAAGUCCAUGAAUUUCUUUUCUGUGGAAAGGUUCAUUUGCGCCAUAUAUGAGAUUUCAUAUAUAAGUGAUAUCAUAUGAUAUUUGCCUUUCUCUUUCUGGUUUGUUUCACUUGGUAUGAGAGUCUCUAGUUCCGUCCGUGUUGCUGCAAAUGGCAUUAUUUGUUCUUUUUAAUGGCUGAGUAGUAUUCCAUAGUGUACAUAUACCAUAUCUUCUUAACACAUUCAUCUGUUGAUGGGCAUUUAAGUUGUUUCCAAGAGCAGUCCCUUUAAAACUACAUGGGGAAGCAAGAGUGCUAAGAGUACAGGACCAGCCUCACCUCACUGAAGAAGAGGAAUGACAGUGCCAUACUUCUUGUUCUGUUCACUUGUGCCUUCCAUCUGCUGGCACUUUGCUUUUGCCUGUCUUGUCUAUUUCACUUGGGUUUUGCCCCACUGUCAACUCCUGACUUCCUUGAGUGUGGCCUAUGUUUAAACUACCUGAGAGAAAUCUGAAUGAGCCCCUUUAAGGUGCAGAUCUAGGCUCUGGCCACCUGACAGGCCACUGGCCCACCAAUUGAUCAUCUGCCUUUGGGGUAGGUACCUUUCCCUGGUCUAGUCAGCUGUGUCUAGGUAGGCCAUGUACCUGGUACAGACCCUGUAGUUAUAAGGAACCCCUUGGAAGGGCCUUAUAGAUGUGGAGAAUACCCUGAGGCAUCCCACAUUGUGGCAGUGAGAUUAGCUGUCUUUGCUCAGCAUUACCCUUCAAAACCUUGUAUUUAGUGAGACUAUAAUCUGUUCUCCUGGAAGUUCUUCUCUUCUAGGGAAGAGAAGCUUUCUUUUUAAAAUUACGGAAAUAACGUGUGCUUGAAAAAUGAAAAGUGCUGUAAUGAACAUCCUUGCCUACAUAACUUCAUAGACUUGUGUGUUUAUACUUGUGUGUAGAAUAGAUAUCUAGAGGUGGAAAUAUUCAGCCAACAUAUGUUUGGUUUUGUUUGGUUUGGUUGUUGCUGUUGUUAUUUUUAAUUCUAAUAUAUGCAGCCAAAUUUCCCUCCCAAGAGGUUGGUGUAUAUUUGUACUUACCAACACUGCGUGAAAUACCCUAUCAGAGAAAGUUGAUUGAAAUAUUAUGUGAUCAUGUGCAACACGGAAUUUGUGGACUUCAGAUCCAAAAACCAAAAAACUUGGCAAUACAAAAUUUGAAAUUAGUUCUAGAUGAUCAAGUUAUAUUUAAUGUUAUCAGCUCACUGACUGUGUAAGCCUUAGAACCAUUCAUUUAAUGAACCCUCGUCUAGAUGCUAGAGAGACAUAGCUGAUCAAAAGACACAGAGUCUCUGACUUCAUGGAGCUUACAUUCUAGUAGUUGGAAGCUAAUCAUAAACAAAAUAUAAUUCAUAAUGCAGUGUCAUGAGCCAGAAGUGCUAUGAAGAAAAAGUAGGAAAGAAUGUAUAAUGGGCAUCUGAGGUUGCUAUUUUAGAUAGGAUGUUUAAUACAUGUUUCUAAUGAGAAGACAUUUGAGCAGACUCUUAAAUAAGUGAGGGAAGGAGGAGGAGAGCCAUACUGGUAUUAAGAACAGUGUAGACCAAAGGAAUAACAAAUGCAAAUCUGAGAUGGAUACAUGUUAGGUGAGUUUAAGGAAUUGCAAGAUGCCAGCAUGUCAGACCUUGGUGAAGAAGGAAAAUUGAGGUAGGAGAUUAUGUCCAAGAGGUUCACAGGGCUUUGUGGGUUACAGUAAAGACUCUGGAUUUUAUUCUCAUGGGAAGGCAGACCAGUGGAGAGUUUUGAGCCAUGGAGCAGUGUGAUCUGAUUGAUGUUUCUGCCUGCUAUGAGAAGAGACCAAAGGGAGGCAAUCUGACCCAAGUAACGGUCAAAGUGUUUUUCUCUUGAGAAAAUCACAUCCAGCUCCUUCUAAUGGUAGUUAAGUGUCCUUGUUUAUGACAUGAAUGAUGACUACUUUGGUAUGUUAUUUUCACAGUGACUCAUAAAAAUAGUCACAUUAUUUGUAAUCACCGUCAUUAUGAUUAUAUUGGCAAGGUGAAAAGUAACAUUGUAGUAUUUGUUCAAAGAAUUCAGAUGAAUAUUUCAAAGACUGUAAAAGAGGGAGAUUUUCGGGGUCCAAACGUUUUAUCUUGGCAUCAACUUUGAUUAAAAUCACAAAGCAAUUGCUUGAUUCCCUGGAUAGCUUAGCUAGGAAUGUAGUCAUUGUCAUCAAGUUAACCCAAAUGGGGAUGCUUAUCUGUAACAUGAACAGUCAAGAGCUAAUGAAAGUCAUAUUUAGGCAGACCCAUGAGUUCCAUCAAAAUAUCUUUCAUAGUUUUUUUUUCUUAUUAAAUUUAUUAUGACUCUCAGAGAAGUCCUGUUUUAGAAAGCAUUGGGAUGAAUACAAAGUGCUAACCUACAGCAAAUCAAUAUGAAUUAACCACAACUGAAAUUUCUAAGGCAUCAACAUUUUUUAUCCGGGCACUUAACACCUCUAUUUCAGAGAUUUUUGUCAACCCAGUCAGAAGUAAAAAUCUAACAUCUUCGCUCCUCUUACUUGGUGAAAUACACUGUAGAAACAUUUGGAAUCUGGGCUUCCAUAGUUAGCAACCUCAAUGAAGUAAGUGAGUUGUCUUUUUAGUGCCCAGUGAAGAGAGAAACCAUAUAAUUUAUCACCUAAACGAGGACACCUUUGAGAGUGAAAGAGGAUGAUGAUUAUUACCUGGGAAUAAUGGGCAUAGACUGAACUGCUCAGGCAAACCUCCACAAGUGGCCGCCCUCCCAGUGAAGGGCGAUCUACCUUAUAACUCACUUCACGUAAUUCGAUUGUGUUUAGUUUGUGGCUGUCCUUGUUCAGGAGAAUUCCAAGAAGCGUUCAUAGAAAACAAUCACUUGGUGGCCCCAGGGAGGAAUUAGGUCUGGCAGGAUCAAUGGUGGCGUGGAGAAGCGUGUUGUGCUCACCGCGCACUGAUUUUCCUGCUGCGAAGUGCAGUGCAAGACUUUCUCUCCCAAGUGUUGAUAAUGCAGAGUGAGUCUGAGGUGGGGAAUCAUGAAAUUUCCCUCACUGCAAAAUAUUUAAAUAAUAGUCCCUCUUCACAUCUGGAGACUACUGUGUAAAAUGUCAAAACACCCUAAUUUAUAAAAAAUAACUUUCUGGUAUUAGCAAAAAAAAAAAAAAAA
RNAcentral lists this long non-coding RNA (7003 nucleotides) under Sus scrofa (pig). Its description in RNAcentral is "lncRNA (ENSSSCG00015043840.1)". Lineage: Eukaryota; Metazoa; Chordata; Mammalia; Artiodactyla; Suidae. The record is from RNAcentral.